RNAcentral lists this ribosomal RNA (253 nucleotides) under uncultured bacterium. RNAcentral's name for it is "partial 16S ribosomal RNA". It matches the Rfam family "Bacterial small subunit ribosomal RNA", at positions 524 to 776 of the family's 1533-position model. The record is from RNAcentral.
UACGAAGGGGGCUAGCGUUGCUCGGAAUGACUGGGCGUAAAGGGCGCGUAGGCGGUUUGUACAGUCAGGUGUGAAAUUCCCGGGCUCAACCUGGGGGCGGCACUUGAUACGUAUGGACUGGAGUGGGGAAGAGGGUCGUGGAAUUCCCAGUGUAGAGGUGAAAUUCGUAGAUAUUGGGAAGAACACCGGUGGCGAAGGCGGCGACCUGGUCCUUGACUGACGCUGAGGCGCGAAAGCGUGGGGAGCGAACAGG